UCGCCAUGUUCCGAGCGGCCCUGUACGCUCACUAUGUAAGUUGCGUGGGGCCUCACAAUUUUCGCUCGGAAACCCGCCUCCCUCUAACGUUAUAGCCAUAGACUAUAUAUAAAAGGUCAAAGCAGUUGUCGAUGUUUACAACUUCGGAGAGGAUGAAACGGAACUUUCUGGUCACGAAGAGGAAAAAAACACCACCAGAGUGAAUGGCGGGAACAGCAAACAGGUUUCAUUAAACAGAGCUGACUGACAAACUGCCUCAGUGGACAGGAAGACGUCACCAGCUGAGGACUGAUGGAGAGACAUGAGAAGCAUCAUACACUGACACUGACAGUGUUCAGUAAUGGAUGUUUACAUGGAGGCAGAAGUAGUUUGCUCAGAUCAGCCCUGCUGCUGUCAGCAGGAGAUCAGUGGAUGUGAAACAAGUGUCAGCUGUGACAGGAAGAAACCCUGCAGAGGAAAAUGACCAACACUGACAGGAAGAACGACAGUGGAAGAUUGACAUGAAGAAGAGAGAGAAAGAGCUGAUGGACAGAGAGACAGGUGGAGAGAGACGGACAGAAGUUGGACAUUAUAGGCAGAGAGGACGAGAGGCAGAGGAGGACAUUUUCAAAUGAGACGCAGAAUCCUAAUCUAAAUGGAGAAUGUAGCCUGAGGCAGCGCUAAAUGCAUUAAGAGUUAGUGAAGAGCAGGAAAUUAUGUUAUUACCAAGAAGUGUGAAGCAGGUUAUUAGAAAUUCAUAAUAGUCCAAAUGUAUAUGUGAGCAGUUUCCUUUUUUAUAGGUUGGAGCCCUGAGUCCAGAACAGCAGCACUGAAGUAUUUUAUAAAACGACUCCAACCGCCCUGUGGAACGAAACCCUCAGACCAGUCAGAUUUGGGCUCUCUCUCAGCUUUUAAACAUUUAAAGGGGCACCCCACUGAUUGUACAUGUCAAAGUGAACCUACUAAUCAUGAGGACUGUCUCUGAGCCUGUGAAACAGUAUAAUAACAAUAUAAUGUCUUCUGUGGACCUGGAGGAGCUUUGUCAAAUCUGAAAAAAAUUACUCAAGUGCUUGGGUAGGUCUACAAAUUUAUAACAGAUAGUGUCACAAAUCCGGGGUGUAGAGCCUGAAAUGUGGAGUGGCAUUUCAAGAUGAGAAGAAUCCAGUGUUUUUGAUUGUUCAUAACAAGGAGUGUUAUAAACAAUCAAAGUGCAGCACAAAUCAGUUGCUUUUGCUCAUGAGGACAGAAAAAAUCAUCAAGGUACAUGAGCCAGUCAGUCCAGGGAGCACAUGUAAUAAAGUUGCUGCUCUUUUGACGCCUGCACACUGACUCAGAAUCCUAAAUUUAUACUACAUACUGUAUAAUCCAUACUAUCCCAAAGAGUAGGUACAGAAAUAAUAAGUCAGCAAAUGCAGUGUCAAAAAUAGCUAAAAAAAAUUUGAAAAAGAAAAUAAAAAAUUAAUGUUUUUAGAUUAUAUUGAUAUGCAGUUAAUUAUUUUAGUCAUUUUUUGAGCAUAAAUGUGAGGAUUUGAUGCUUUUAUUUGCAACACAUGAGAGCAAACUGAAUAUCUUCAGGUUUUGAACUGUUUCAACUCAGAUAUGACCCAUAGGAGCGUACCAGAGGCAGGUGUACCAUACCUUUGUCGUCAGGCUAAUGGUAAUAAACAUGUGGUCAAGGCUGUGCAACAGUCAUGGUUUGGUAGCUUUUGGCAAAAAAACUAAACUAGGUUUAGGAAAGAUCAUGGUUUGGUUUAAAAUAAGUUCUUCUUUAAGGUUAGAGGAUGUUUGACGUCAUGGUUACAAUAAUAAACACUUGUGGAAAUGUCAUGGAUAAAGAAAACAAUGACUACGGAAAUGAACAGCACUCUCCCGUGUGACGGUCUUGUGUUUUGUCAUCCCAUCCAUCCACCACAACCUCCUUAUUAUGCAAACUUUGCUGCACUAUAAACAACAUCACCUGACUUCCU
Molecule: long non-coding RNA, 1946 nt
Organism: Seriola aureovittata
Lineage: Eukaryota; Metazoa; Chordata; Actinopteri; Carangiformes; Carangidae
Exons: 3
Source: RefSeq, a predicted model, not a curated record